ACGAACGCUGGCGGCGUGCUUAACACAUGCAAGUCGAACGGAGAGGCCCUGCUUUUGUGGGGUGCUCGAGUGGCGAACGGGUGAGUAACACGUGAGUAACCUGCCCUUGACUUUGGGAUAACUUCAGGAAACUGGGGCUAAUACCGGAUAGGAGCUCCUGCUGCAUGGUGGGGGUUGGAAAGUUUCGGCGGUUGGGGAUGGACUCGCGGCUUAUCAGCUUGUUGGUGGGGUAGUGGCUUACCAAGGCUUUGACGGGUAGCCGGCCUGGGAGGGUGACCGGCCACAUUGGGACUGAGAUACGGCCCAGACUCCUACGGGAGGCAGCAGUGGGGAAUAUUGCACAAUGGGCGGAAGCCUGAUGCAGCAACGCCGCGUGCGGGAUGACGGCCUUCGGGUUGUAAACCGCUUUCGCCUGUGACGAAGCGUGAGUGACGGUAAUGGGUAAAGAAGCACCGGCUAACUACGUG
RNAcentral lists this ribosomal RNA (467 nucleotides) under uncultured bacterium. RNAcentral describes it as "partial 16S ribosomal RNA". It matches the Rfam family "Bacterial small subunit ribosomal RNA", at positions 29 to 507 of the family's 1533-position model. The record is from RNAcentral.